UCAGAAGUUCGGAAUUCAGCG
Molecule: microRNA, 21 nt
Filed under: Heligmosomoides polygyrus
Lineage: Eukaryota; Metazoa; Nematoda; Chromadorea; Rhabditida; Heligmosomidae
Description: hpo-miR-10120-3p
Source: miRBase by way of RNAcentral